Molecule: ribosomal RNA, 839 nt
Filed under: uncultured eukaryote
Lineage: Eukaryota
Description: SSU rRNA
Rfam family: Eukaryotic small subunit ribosomal RNA
Source: RNAcentral
CGGUGUUCAACUGGCGUGCCCGCGGGACGUCCUGCCGGUGAGCUCAGCCCGCGAGGGCGGCUCAACUUGAAAUCCCAUCGCGGUGCUCUUCAUUGAGUGUCGAGGUGGGCCGGCACGAUUACUUUUGAACAAAUUAGAGUGCUUAAAGCAGGCUAAAAUUUUGCCUGAAUACUGUGUAUAUGGAAUAAUGGAAUAGGACCUCGGUUCUAUUUUGUUGGUUUUCGGAACCCCGAGGUAAUGAUUAAUAGGAACGGAUGGGGGCAUUCGUAUUGCGACGUUAGAGGUGAAAUUCUUGGAUCGUCGCAAGACGGACUAAAGCGAAAGCAUUUGCCAAAAACGCUUUCAUUGAUCAAGAACGAAAGUUAGAGGUUCGAAGGCGAUCAGAUACCGCCCUAGUUCUAACCAUAAACUAUGCCAGCUAGCGAUCCGCCGACGUCCCUCUGAUGGCUCGGCGGGCAGCUUCCGGGAAACCAAAGCUUUUGGGUUCCGGGGGAAGUAUGGUUGCAAAGCUGAAACUUAAAGGAAUUGACGGAAGGGCACCACCAGGAGUGGAGCCUGCGGCUUAAUUUGACUCAACACGGGAAACCUCACCAGGCCCAGACACUGGAAGGAUUGACAGAUUGAGAGCUCUUUCUUGAUUCAGUGGGUGGUGGUGCAUGGCCGUUCUUAGUCGGUGGAGCGAUUUGUCAGGUUAAUUCCGAUAACGGACGAGACUCUGACCUGAUAACUAGACGCACUUGCGGCAUCUCAAAGGUCCGCCGGCGGCUGGCUUUGCGCCCGUCGUCGCGCGCGAUUUUUACUGCCGGCGUACAAUAAAUUCUUCUUAGAGGGACAAGUGG